UAAUCCUCAUAUGUCAUUAUUUUUCUACCACUGGUCGUCACUUCAAAGUGAGUUCAAACAAACUGUGCUGAAAUAUGAGUUUCGGUGCUAUAGUUGGUACUUAGAAUUAUGAUAAUAUAGUCCAGAGUAUUCAGUGACUGAUUGUAGAUGAUAGACACACAUGCAGACAGGGUCAGUCACAGAUUCUAUUGUUCAACACUUUGCAUUUGCAUAGCCAUAGAUAUUAGGCAGAGAAAGAAAAGAGAAAGGAAGAGGGAAGCACAUACACAGUGGAAAGAUAAACUCACACUAUGGAUUUCUUUUUAGUCUACAUACUAAUAUUUUUUACUUAUUGAUGAUUAAAUCUUUGUUAAAGAACAUGGUUGGUCAUUUUUAAUGAUUGUUUCAUCUGUACAAAAGUUUGAUUCCAAAAGUGUCUUCAAGGAACUUGUGUUCAAAUUCAACUUAGCCACUGUCAUAUAUAGUAAACUUUGUUUUAGCAAUCAAAGAAAUGUUUGAAACUAUUGUAGUCAAGAAAUAUUUUCUAAUAUGAAAUGUUUGUAUGAUUAUGAAAAUAUAUAUUUUUU
This 566-nucleotide long non-coding RNA is filed under the name Phaseolus vulgaris (common bean). Its description in RNAcentral is "long non-coding RNA (PVUL_LNC003288)". Lineage: Eukaryota; Viridiplantae; Streptophyta; Magnoliopsida; Fabales; Fabaceae. The record is from RNAcentral.